This 255-nucleotide long non-coding RNA is filed under the name Nicotiana benthamiana. Its description in RNAcentral is "long non-coding RNA (NBEN_LNC017534)". Lineage: Eukaryota; Viridiplantae; Streptophyta; Magnoliopsida; Solanales; Solanaceae. The record is from RNAcentral.
UAACCCUAGUUCAUAACUCAGAGACCGCUGCCUUUGUAUUCUCUCAUCUCCUCUACUCUCUCAACCCCCAACCUAACCCUAGCUCUUUCAACUUCCGACUUCCUUUUUCGAUCUUCUCAAGUGAUCUCUCUUCAGCUCCUGAGCCUCCAAUGGCUCCUCCAUUGCCAUGCUCACCUUGUCUGCGGCAAUCAAGGGCCCUGGGCCAUGCUGACUUGUAUCUAGAGUUUCCUAUUUGGCUGUUCUUCGCUACUCCAG